Molecule: ribosomal RNA, 468 nt
Filed under: uncultured bacterium
Lineage: Bacteria
Description: partial 16S ribosomal RNA
Rfam family: Bacterial small subunit ribosomal RNA
Source: RNAcentral
GACGAACGCUGGCGGCGUGCUUAACACAUGCAAGUCGAACGGAAAGGCCCUGCUUUUGUGGGGUGCUCGAGUGGCGAACGGGUGAGUAACACGUGAGUAACCUGCCCUUGACUUUGGGAUAACUUCAGGAAACUGGGGCUAAUACCGGAUAGGAGCUCCUGCUGCAUGGUGGGGGUUGGAAAGUUUCGGCGGUUGGGGAUGGACUCGCGGCUUAUCAGCUUGUUGGUGGGGUAGUGGCUUACCAAGGCUUUGACGGGUAGCCGGCCUGAGAGGGUGACCGGCCACAUUGGGACUGAGGGACGGCCCAGACUCCUACGGGAGGCAGCAGUGGGGAAUAUUGCACAAUGGGCGGAAGCGUGAUGCAGCAACGCCGCGUUCGGGAUGACGGCUUUCGGGUUGUAAACCGCUUUCGCCUGUGACGAAGCGUGAGUGACGGUAAUGGGUAAAGAAGCACCGGCUAACUACGUG